UACGGAGGAUCCAAGCGUUAUCCGGAAUCAUUGGGCGUAAAGGGUCCGUAGGCGGGUCGAUAAGUCAGUGGUGAAAGUCUGGAGCUCAACUGUAGAACUGCCAUUGAUACUGUGGUCCUUGAGUUCUUGUGAAGAGAUUGGAAUAUGUAGUGUAGCGGUGAAAUGCAUAGAUAUUACAUAGAACACCGAUUGCGAAGGCAGAUCACUAACAAUACACUGACGCUGAUGGACGAAAGCGUAGGUAGCGAACAGG
Molecule: unclassified non-coding RNA, 253 nt
Filed under: uncultured Flavobacteriaceae bacterium
Lineage: Bacteria; Pseudomonadati; Bacteroidota; Flavobacteriia; Flavobacteriales; Flavobacteriaceae
Description: contains 16S-23S intergenic spacer region
Rfam family: Bacterial small subunit ribosomal RNA
Source: RNAcentral